AGAGUUUGAUCCUGGCUCAGGACGAACGCUGGCGGCGUGCUUAACACAUGCAAGUCGAACGAUGAAGCUGGAGCUUGCUCUGGUGGAUUAGUGGCGAACGGGUGAGUAACACGUGAGUAACCUGCCCUUGACUCUGGGAUAAGCGUUGGAAACGACGUCUAAUACCGGAUACGAGCUUCAGCCGCAUGGCUAGGAGUUGGAAAGAAUUUCGGUCAAGGAUGGACUCGCGGCCUAUCAGCUAGUUGGUGAGGUAAUGGCUCACCAAGGCGACGACGGGUAGCCGGCCUGAGAGGGUGACCGGCCACACUGGGACUGAGACACGGCCCAGACUCCUACGGGAGGCAGCAGUGGGGAAUAUUGCACAAUGGGCGCAAGCCUGAUGCAGCAACGCCGCGUGAGGGACGACGGCCUUCGGGUUGUAAACCUCUUUUAGCAGGGAAGAAGCGAAAGUGACGGUACCUGCAGAAAAAGCACCGGCUAACUACGUGCCAGCAGCCGCGGUAAUACGUAGGGUGCAAGCGUUGUCCGGAAUUAUUGGGCGUAAAGAGCUCGUAGGCGGUUUGUCGCGUCUGCUGUGAAAACGCGAGGCUCAACCUCGCGCCUGCAGUGGGUACGGGCAGACUAGAGUGCGGUAGGGGAGAUUGGAAUUCCUGGUGUAGCGGUGGAAUGCGCAGAUAUCAGGAGGAACACCGAUGGCGAAGGCAGAUCUCUGGGCCGUAACUGACGCUGAGGAGCGAAAGCGUGGGGAGCGAACAGGAUUAGAUACCCUGGUAGUCC
RNAcentral lists this ribosomal RNA (777 nucleotides) under uncultured bacterium. Its description in RNAcentral is "bacterial SSU rRNA". It matches the Rfam family "Bacterial small subunit ribosomal RNA", at positions 8 to 796 of the family's 1533-position model. The record is from RNAcentral.